UCCGUAGGUGAACCUGCGGAGGGAUCAUUACAGAGUUGCAAAACUCCCAACCAUUGUGAACCUACCUCACCGUUGCUUCGGCGGGUGGCCCGCUAACCCGGAGCCGCGUCGGACCCUCCUUCGGGGGGGCCGGCAACCCGUCAGAGGACCGAAACUCUUAGUCAUCUUGGCCUCUCUGAGUAACUUAUACAAUAAGUCAAAACUUUCAACAACGGAUCUCUUGGUUCUGGCAUCGAUGAAGAACGCAGCGAAAUGCGAUACGUAAUGUGAAUUGCAGAUUUCAGUGAAUCAUCGAAUCUUUGAACGCACAUUGCGCCCGCCAGUAUUCUGGCGGGCAUGCCUGUUCGAGCGUCAUUUCAACCAUCAAGCGCCUGCGCUUGUGUUGGAGCCCUGCGGCAGCCGCAGACUCCCAAACCCAGUGGCGGGCUCGUCGUCGUACCGAGUGCAGUAAACUUACCACGCUCAGGGCACGCGACGGGUUACCGGCCGUAAAACCCCCCACUUUCUCAAGGUUGACCUCGGAUCAGGUAGGAAUACCGGCUGAACUUAAGGCAUAUCAAUAAGGCGGGAGGGGAAGGUCGGACUGGCCAAGGGCACACAGGGGGGGAUA
This 610-nucleotide ribosomal RNA is filed under the name uncultured fungus. RNAcentral describes it as "eukaryotic LSU rRNA". The stretch from base 201 to 354 matches the Rfam family "5.8S ribosomal RNA". The record is from RNAcentral. Lineage: Eukaryota; Fungi.